This 1564-nucleotide ribosomal RNA is filed under the name Escherichia coli. Its description in RNAcentral is "partial 23S ribosomal RNA". It matches the Rfam family "Bacterial large subunit ribosomal RNA", at positions 1270 to 2819 of the family's 2925-position model. Lineage: Bacteria; Pseudomonadati; Pseudomonadota; Gammaproteobacteria; Enterobacterales; Enterobacteriaceae. The record is from RNAcentral.
AUGCUGGAGGUAUCAGAAGUGCGAAUGCUGACAUAAGUAACGAUAAAGCGGGUGAAAAGCCCGCUCGCCGGAAGACCAAGGGUUCCUGUCCAACGUUAAUCGGGGCAGGGUGAGUCGACCCCUAAGGCGAGGCCGAAAGGCGUAGUCGAUGGGAAACAGGUUAAUAUUCCUGUACUUGGUGUUACUGCGAAGGGGGGACGGAGAAGGCUAUGUUGGCCGGGCGACGGUUGUCCCGGUUUAAGCGUGUAGGCUGGUUUUCCAGGCAAAUCCGGAAAAUCAAGGCUGAGGCGUGAUGACGAGGCACUACGGUGCUGAAGCAACAAAUGCCCUGCUUCCAGGAAAAGCCUCUAAGCAUCAGGUAACAUCAAAUCGUACCCCAAACCGACACAGGUGGUCAGGUAGAGAAUACCAAGGCGCUUGAGAGAACUCGGGUGAAGGAACUAGGCAAAAUGGUGCCGUAACUUCGGGAGAAGGCACGCUGAUAUGUAGGUGAAGUCCCUCGCGGAUGGAGCUGAAAUCAGUCGAAGAUACCAGCUGGCUGCAACUGUUUAUUAAAAACACAGCACUGUGCAAACACGAAAGUGGACGUAUACGGUGUGACGCCUGCCCGGUGCCGGAAGGUUAAUUGAUGGGGUCAGCGCAAGCGAAGCUCUUGAUCGAAGCCCCGGUAAACGGCGGCCGUAACUAUAACGGUCCUAAGGUAGCGAAAUUCCUUGUCGGGUAAGUUCCGACCUGCACGAAUGGCGUAAUGAUGGCCAGGCUGUCUCCACCCGAGACUCAGUGAAAUUGAACUCGCUGUGAAGAUGCAGUGUACCCGCGGCAAGACGGAAAGACCCCGUGAACCUUUACUAUAGCUUGACACUGAACAUUGAGCCUUGAUGUGUAGGAUAGGUGGGAGGCUUUGAAGUGUGGACGCCAGUCUGCAUGGAGCCGACCUUGAAAUACCACCCUUUAAUGUUUGAUGUUCUAACGUUGACCCGUAAUCCGGGUUGCGGACAGUGUCUGGUGGGUAGUUUGACUGGGGCGGUCUCCUCCUAAAGAGUAACGGAGGAGCACGAAGGUUGGCUAAUCCUGGUCGGACAUCAGGAGGUUAGUGCAAUGGCAUAAGCCAGCUUGACUGCGAGCGUGACGGCGCGAGCAGGUGCGAAAGCAGGUCAUAGUGAUCCGGUGGUUCUGAAUGGAAGGGCCAUCGCUCAACGGAUAAAAGGUACUCCGGGGAUAACAGGCUGAUACCGCCCAAGAGUUCAUAUCGACGGCGGUGUUUGGCACCUCGAUGUCGGCUCAUCACAUCCUGGGGCUGAAGUAGGUCCCAAGGGUAUGGCUGUUCGCCAUUUAAAGUGGUACGCGAGCUGGGUUUAGAACGUCGUGAGACAGUUCGGUCCCUAUCUGCCGUGGGCGCUGGAGAACUGAGGGGGGCUGCUCCUAGUACGAGAGGACCGGAGUGGACGCAUCACUGGUGUUCGGGUUGUCAUGCCAAUGGCACUGCCCGGUAGCUAAAUGCGGAAGAGAUAAGUGCUGAAAGCAUCUAAGCACGAAACUUGCCCCGAGAUGAGUUCUCCCUGAC